CGCACCUUGCGCUCCUUGGUAUUCCUUGGAGCAUGCCUGUUUGAGUGUCGUGAAUUUCUCCAACUUGGACUUUUGUCCAACGCGGGUCCAUGGGUUUGCAACUUGUGUUGCUCACCUUAAAUACAGUACGCUGGACAACCAGUGAGUUGCUAGUUUCAUUGCUAACUUGCGUAAAUGUUGUCUGCUGCUAAUCACACAACGUGUGCCUCGUGCACACCCUCAUUUCUGACCUCAAAUCAGGUAGGACUACCCGCUGAACUUAA
This 263-nucleotide unclassified non-coding RNA is filed under the name Basidiomycota sp. RNAcentral describes it as "partial contains 5.8S ribosomal RNA, internal transcribed spacer 2, and large subunit ribosomal RNA". Lineage: Eukaryota; Fungi; Basidiomycota. The record is from RNAcentral.